RNAcentral lists this ribosomal RNA (253 nucleotides) under uncultured bacterium. RNAcentral's name for it is "partial 16S ribosomal RNA". It matches the Rfam family "Bacterial small subunit ribosomal RNA", at positions 524 to 776 of the family's 1533-position model. The record is from RNAcentral.
UACGUAGGGGGCAAGCGUUGUCCGGAUUUAUUGGGCGUAAAGAGCGUGUAGGCGGCUUUACAGGUCCGUUGUGAAAACUCGAGGCUCAACCUCGAGACGCCGGUGGAAACCGUAAAGCUAGAGUCCGGAAGAGGAGAGUGGAAUUCCUGGUGUAGCGGUGAAAUGCGCAGAUAUCAGGAGGAACACCCGUGGCGAAAGCGGCUCUCUGGGACGGUACUGACGCUGAGACGCGAAAGCCAGGGGAGCAAACGGG